GUCGAGCGGACAGAAGGGAGCUUGCUCCCGGAUGUUAGCGGCGGACGGGUGAGUAACACGUGGGUAACCUGCCUGUAAGACUGGGAUAACUCCGGGAAACCGGAGCUAAUACCGGAUAGUUCCUUGAACCGCAUGGUUCAAGGAUGAAAGACGGUUUCGGCUGUCACUUACAGAUGGACCCGCGGCGCAUUAGCUAGUUGGUGGGGUAAUGGCUCACCAAGGCGACGAUGCGUAGCCGACCUGAGAGGGUGAUCGGCCACACUGGGACUGAGACACGGCCCAGACUCCUACGGGAGGCAGCAGUAGGGAAUCUUCCGCAAUGGACGAAAGUCUGACGGAGCAACGCCGCGUGAGUGAUGAAGGUUUUCGGAUCGUAAAGCUCUGUUGUUAGGGAAGAACAAGUGCGAGAGUAACUGCUCGCACCUUGACGGUACCUAACCAGAAAGCCACGGCUAACUACGUGCCAGCAGCCGCGGUAAUACGUAGGUGGCAAGCGUUGUCCGGAAUUAUUGGGCGUAAAGGGCUCGCAGGCGGUUUCUUAAGUCUGAUGUGAAAGCCCCCGGCUCAACCGGGGAGGGUCAUUGGAAACUGGGAAACUUGAGUGCAGAAGAGGAGAGUGGAAUUCCACGUGUAGCGGUGAAAUGCGUAGAGAUGUGGAGGAACACCAGUGGCGAAGGCGACUCUCUGGUCUGUAACUGACGCUGAAGAGCGAAAGCGUGGGGAGCGAACAAGGAUUAGAUA
RNAcentral lists this ribosomal RNA (741 nucleotides) under Bacillus zhangzhouensis. RNAcentral describes it as "bacterial SSU rRNA". It matches the Rfam family "Bacterial small subunit ribosomal RNA", at positions 61 to 784 of the family's 1533-position model. The record is from RNAcentral. Lineage: Bacteria; Bacillati; Bacillota; Bacilli; Caryophanales; Bacillaceae.